ACAUCCAGAGAAUUUAGCAGAGAUGCUUUAGUGCCUUCGGGAACUCUGAGACAGGUGCUGCAUGGCUGUCGUCAGCUCGUGUUGUGAAAUGUUGGGUUAAGUCCCGNAACGAGCGCAACCCUUAUCCUUUGUUGCCAGCACGUAAUGGUGGGAAACUCAAAGGAGACUGCCGGUGAUAAACCGGAGGAAGGUGGGGAUGACGUCAAGUCAUCAUGGCCCUUACGAGUAGGGCUACACACGUGCUACAAUGGCGCAUACAAAGAGAAGCGACCUCGCGAGAGCAAGCGGACCUCAUAAAGUGCGUCGUAGUCCGGAUUGGAGUCUGCAACUCGACUCCAUGGAGUCGGAAUCGCUAGUAAUCGUAAAUCAGAAUGUUACGGUGAAUACGUUCCCGGGCCUUGUACACACCGCCCGUCACACCAUGGGAGUGGGUUGCAAAAGAAGUAGAUAGCUUAACCUUCGGGAGGGCGUUUACCACUUUGUGAUUCAUGACUGGGGUGAAGUCGUAACAAGGUAGGCGUAGUGCU
RNAcentral lists this ribosomal RNA (527 nucleotides) under uncultured bacterium. RNAcentral's name for it is "bacterial SSU rRNA". It matches the Rfam family "Bacterial small subunit ribosomal RNA", at positions 984 to 1509 of the family's 1533-position model. The record is from RNAcentral.